AGCAGCGGGGCUCUGCCGCCGCCUACUACGGUAGCAACAGGCCAAGGAGUCCCCGUUCCUCUUGCUCCUGAGGGCGGGCCGGGAUGGAAGCAGGCAGGGUGUUGUUCUUCGCCUUCGCAUAGAAGAAAGCCUGAAAAGAGCCGGCGGAGGCGUUGCAGAAGCCGGGAGGCCAGAAUUCGCGACCAGUGUUUUAGAGCGUUCAGAGCACUUCACGUACGUCGUUAUCUGGCUGUGAUCUUUGCAAGCGAUUGUUACUGUCUUCAUCAUACUGCAGUGCAAAAAUACAAGGCCAUCUAGUGAGUUCGUGUGAGAGGAGGUCGUUAUCCUGCAGCAGCAAUUUUGGUUCGUGUUGGUAUUAGUGUGUUAACGCUUUUUCUAGCCAAGGAGAAUCAGCUAUUUUAAAAAAAAACUACUAAAGCACUUCGGCGACAUCUAGUGUCAAUUAAGUGGUAUAGUCUGGCUUUUCGUAAUCUGUGAAUGUUUUAAAUUGUUGCUUUAAUGGUUCUUUUAUUCUGCUUUUAUUGUGUUUACUUUGGUGAACUGCCUAGAGCCUUUGGGGUCAGGCCGUAUAUAAAUUAAACAAACAAAUAAAUAAUACAACGUUGAAAGCA
This is a long non-coding RNA of Hemicordylus capensis (graceful crag lizard), 611 nucleotides long. RefSeq lists it as uncharacterized. The record is from RefSeq and is a predicted model, not a curated record. The transcript has 2 exons. Lineage: Eukaryota; Metazoa; Chordata; Lepidosauria; Squamata; Cordylidae.